GUAGGCGGUUUGUCGCGUCUGCUGUGAAAACCCGAGGCUCAACCUCGGGCCUGCAGUGGGUACGGGCAGACUAGAGUGCGGUAGGGGAGAAUGGAAUUCCUGGUGUAGCGGUGGAAUGCGCAGAUAUCAGGAGGAACACCGAUGGCGAAGGCAGUUCUCUGGGCCGUUACUGACGCUGAGGAGCGAAAGCGUGGGGAGCGAACAGGAUUAGAUACCCUGGUAGUCCACGCCGUAAACGUUGGGAACUAGAUGUGGGGACCUUUCCACGGUCUCCGUGUCGCAGCUAACGCAUUAAGUUCCCCGCCUGGGGAGUACGGCCGCAAGGCUAAAACUCAAAGGAAUUGACGGGGGCCCGCACAAGCGGCGGAGCAUGCGGAUUAAUUCGAUGCAACGCGAAGAACCUUACCAAGGCUUGACAUAUACCGGAAACGUCCAGAAAUGGUCGCCCCGCAAGGUCGGUAUACAGGUGGUGCAUGGUUGUCGUCAGCUCGUGUCGUGAGAUGUUGGGUUAAGUCCCGCAACGAGCGCAACCCUCGUUCUAUGUUGCCAGCACGUUAUGGUGGGAACUCAUAGGAGACUGCCGGGGUCAACUCGGAGGAAGGUGGGGAUGACGUCAAAUCAUCAUGCCCCUUAUGUCUUGGGCUUCACGCAUGCUACAAUGGCCGGUACAAAGGGCUGCGAUACC
RNAcentral lists this ribosomal RNA (685 nucleotides) under Rathayibacter tritici. Its description in RNAcentral is "bacterial SSU rRNA". It matches the Rfam family "Bacterial small subunit ribosomal RNA", at positions 571 to 1256 of the family's 1533-position model. Lineage: Bacteria; Bacillati; Actinomycetota; Actinomycetes; Micrococcales; Microbacteriaceae. The record is from RNAcentral.